This 97-nucleotide ribosomal RNA is filed under the name Citrobacter freundii. RNAcentral describes it as "partial 16S ribosomal RNA". It matches the Rfam family "Bacterial small subunit ribosomal RNA", at positions 1 to 93 of the family's 1533-position model. The record is from RNAcentral. Lineage: Bacteria; Pseudomonadati; Pseudomonadota; Gammaproteobacteria; Enterobacterales; Enterobacteriaceae.
AAAUUGAAGAGUUUGAUCAUGGCUCAGAUUGAACGCUGGCGGCAGGCCUAACACAUGCAAGUCGAACGGUAACACAGAGGAGCUUGCUCCUUGGGUG